Molecule: long non-coding RNA, 20167 nt
Filed under: Homo sapiens (human)
Lineage: Eukaryota; Metazoa; Chordata; Mammalia; Primates; Hominidae
Description: HSALNT0011973
Source: RNAcentral
CCUUGUGAUCCACUCGCCUCGGCCUCCCAAAGUGCUGGGAUUACAGGUGUGAGCCACCGCGCCUGGCCAGCAAAAACAGAUCUUAAUUGGGGUUUUAUAGCAUUGAAUGUAUAUAUUAGAAAAUAAGAGAGAUCUACAAUCAAUUAUCUAAGCAUCCACAUAAGAAACUAGGAAAAAAAGAGCAAAUUCAGUUUAAAGUAGGUAAAAGAAAAGAAAGAAUAAAAGUUAGAACAGAAGUCAAUGAAUUUGAAAACAGGGAGUCAAUAGAAAAAAGUCAACAAAAUCAAAAGCUUGCCUUUAAAAGAUCAAUAAAAUCAUUAAGACUCUAGCCAGGCUAACUAGAAAAAGAGAAAGCAAACAAAUUAAUAAUACCAGCAAUGAAAGAGAGCAUAUCACUAUAGAUGCCAUAGUCAUUAAAAAAAUAAUACAGGAAACAAUAAAAUAAAUUAACAAUACAAAUAAAUAAAUAAAAUAAUAAAUAACAAAACAAUAAUAAAAAGAUAAUACAGGAAAACAAUAAAUAACUCACAAAUUUGAUAACCUACAAGCAAUGAAGUGAUUUCUUGAAAGACACAAUCUGCCAAAACAGGACAAAUCAACAACUCCUAUAUGAUGCUUCUCUACCAAGAAACUCUUCUGAUUUUAGCUUGUAGAAAUCUACAGCUCUAGCAGAGAACAUUUUCGUAGGUUGUCAUCCAAGUUUCCUGGGUGUUGUAGGGGGAGAAGAUCAGCAUGUACCUGUUUUCCUCUCUGCAGCUGGGCUUUUGACGUCUCAGUCAUUGCCCAUCCAAAACCUGUUGUAGUUUUUUAUUUCUCUCACUGACGAGGAGGACAUGAUAAUCCAAGGCAAUGCAAGAAAGGGGGAAAGUGGAAAUAGAGAGUGUUCCUCUAACUUAAUCCCUUGCUGCCACUUUUAGUUACCAUCAGUGCCUGGCUGCAGCUAUCCCUCCACAAAGAGUCACACAGACCCACAACAGUUCAUGAUAGCCUUCUGUCUUCCCAAGGAUUUCUCAUUUUUUUGUAAGUUCCUAAGAUCCAUGUUCUCCUUUAUUUCCAUAUAUUUGCUUUGUAGAGAAGGUUCCAGCAGGACAUGCUAGUUCUCCAUUCUGACAGGAAGAUGAAACCUCUUUUCAGAAUGGAGUUUAUAUUGGCCCCAGACAAUGGAUCAUUAUUGGUUUAAUUCUAGAAUGGUUUCUUGUUCUUUGCUUCCCAGCCUCUCUUGCAGCUAGACCUAGUCACAUGGCCCACUGUGCCCAAUAAAAUUAAAGGAAAUUCUGAUGUUGGACUUUUAGAAGUCCUUAUUAUUUCCUAACAAAAGAUUUAUCAUUUUAUCUUUAGCAUCUUGAAUAUAGAUGUGAUGCCCAGAAAAAAACCGCAGUCAUUGUGUAAGCAGGAGCGGAAAGACAAAAGAACAGCAGAGGCUAACCCUGAUAUCAUUGACCUUGUGAACGGAUGCCAGCAUCUACCUACUUCCAGAUUGCUUAGUUAAAAAAAAAAUUGUUAUGCCACCGUUAAUUGUGGUUAAUAUUAUGUGAAACAUGCAAAUGACCAGCUUUUUAUUUUACACAAUAGUUUCUAAGAGGAAAAUAACUAAUAUUUAGGAAAUACUUAGGAGUUUCAAGGUAAUUGUGCCAGAGACUCUAAAUAAAUCAUUUCAAUUACACUUCAUAGAAAGCCCGCAUGGAGUUAUACAAUUUCCAUUUUUUUGAUUAGAGAAUUUGGGCUGAGGGAAGGGAAAUAACCUUGCUGAGGGCUAAAAUUUAAAUAUAGGUCUGCUUUUUCCAAUAUACCGUAUUACCUGCCCAAUCUAUCUGUUUAUAAUACCAAAUGGAUCUACAUGUGGGAAUUCAUAUAUUUACAGUGACUUUUAACUAUUUUCCUUGUCCCAGGGAGGCUUGUUUUUGUAAAUGGCACUCAUUUCUGUUUAACAUUUACAGCCCUAAUUCCUUUGGUUCUCAAGAUUUUUUACCAUUAUAUUGCACUAUCAUAAGGCAAACCCCCUUGAGCGGGCAUGCUCUUAAAUACUUACCAGCUAACAGAUAAUAUAGUAUUGAAAUCUAGCCUGGAGAGAAUGGGGCAUGAGCUAGGCACUUGAUGAUGGUUCUGAAAAGGGAGGUUAAAAUUUCCCAAAGACAGUCUUUGUCUCCUGUGCUAUUCUGUUUAAGACAGGUCCUGGGGAUAUGAUGUCCUUUAUUAUUAUUAUUAUUAUUAUUAUUAUUAUUAUUAUUAUUAUUAUACUUUAAGUCUUAGGGUACAUGUGAACAACAUGCAGGUUUGUUACAUAUGUAUACUUGUGCCAUGUUGGUGUGCUGCACCCAUUAACUCGUCAUUUAGCAUUAGGUAUAUCUCCUAAUGCUAUCCCUCCCCACUCCUGCCACCCCACAACAUCUAUGAGGGAAUUAAUCUAUGAGGGAAUACAGACCAGUGACCUCAGAAUAGAGAGGUGAGAUACAAUGUGUGACAAAAAAAAAAAAAAAUCUAAGCAACAGAAAAGACACUGUCCUGCCUUUCUCUUAAAUCCACUUUGCACUUUGUGUAUGAAAGAGAAACCAGGCUUUGUCACUGGCACUGACAAGGACCAGUAGCAGAUCCGAAGAGGAUGUCAGACCACAGCAAAGGCGUUAACCAAAGCACCCACAGUGUUAUGUAGCUUUGAGCUACAGGGAAUAACGAGUCUCUGUCUUGAUUUGUUUUUGAACAAGGGAAGCACUUAAAGAGAUGGUAAAUAGGCUUUGUUUUGAAUUUUUUAGUUUUGUGCCUAGACCAAGUAAUGUGAUCAUUAUUAUCCUUGAAAUAUUUUUAUCCAUUUCUAGUAAGUUGCAGAAUAUUCUAAUUUUGGAGAAUAAGUUAUUCCAGUUCAUUUCGUUGCUGCCUUAAACAAUGAAGAAUGCAAACUUGACCACAAAGACCUCAAUAAUCAACUCAUAGAGAAUCAUAAAAUUUUACCUCUCAUCAGGACCUUAGAGAGCAAAGAGUUCCGUCUCAAGGUUUCAGAGAUGAAUAAACAGAUCCAGAGAGGUUAAAUGACUUUGACCAAGGUCACAGUGUUCAUCUACAACUGCACUGGGACUAUAACCAAGAACUCCUGAAACUGUUUCAUUGUAAUUCUACCACUCCAUGAAGCUUUCAUAGGGCAAACUGCAUAUAAAUAUAUUAAAGGGCUCCAAACUGCAAGACAAUUCUAGAUUCAUAUUCCAUACCCAUCUACGUUACACAAAUUACCAAAUCUUCCCCAUGUUAAAAAAAAAUAUGUGGAGUGGUCAGCAUUGUGAUUGUACACACACAGACACACACACACACACAGAUACUUAAAACUUUAUUAUAUUUUAAAGAUGUGCCAAGAUAUUUUUCAUAGGUUUACAUAUUUACCAGUAUAAAUCAUAAAGAAAGGGUAUUUCAGUAGAUUGAUUUAACCCAGGAUUUUGUUCUUCUAAAAUACAUGGAUUCUCUUUAGAGAUUACAAACCAUAUAGCUUUGUAUACAUUAUAAAUAACAUAUACAUAUUUUAAUACUUCCAUUAAGGAAGAAUAGUAAAUCAUAAGUGUUUUGCAACUGGACUUUAAUCUAUGCCAGAGAAAUGCCCUUGUUAUUCUGUUGUUUCUUGGGUUGUCCUUUAUCAUUUUCCUUGCUGGCCUAAUCACUUAAAAUAUAACCUUGGAAAAGUACCUUACUUUUCUGAGUUCUAACUAUUUAAAAAAACUAUGGAUAAGUACAUUUAUAAAACUUUCUCCUUAUUUCCUUAUUACAGUUUUUAUUCUCGUUCUGCAAAGAAAUACACCUAAGUCAGUCCCUCUUUUUCACUCAAAUUUCUCACUUCCUAUAGCAAAUGCUUAAAAAAAAGGUAGGAACUGACUGCACUCCCCCUUCUGGUAGUAUUUUAGCCACAAGACACACAUUGUUGGGCCAUUUGAGAUGUGAUUAAAGCUCAACUAGCCUACUUCUCCCACUGGAGAGAACUUGUUACCAAAGGAGAACGGUCUAUUACUGCCAAUAAAAAUAGAAUCAAGUGUGUAUGUGUGCAUUAUAUAUCACAAAAAACCUUUCAAUGUUUUAUCUCAUUUCAUAUUCACAACAAUAUUGUGAGGAAAAUAUUACUUCUGAGUUCAGAUUAAGAAAGUGUGGUUAUUUCAUAAUGUAUGAUUAUUUACACAAAUUAACAGUUCAUAUCAAUUAUUAAUUACUUAUGAAUUACUCAUAUCAUUUCCCAGAUAAACAAUAAUUGCAAAUAAAAUUUAUUGAGUUUCUCCCAUAUUUAUUGACAAAUCCUAAGACAUAUAAAAAUAUCUCCAUUUUUCAUAUGAGCAAACUAAUACUUAGCAAAUAUAAGUCAUUUGUCCAAGUUCACACAGCUAACAAGCAGUAGAGUUGAAUUUGAAUUCAGUCAGUAUGCGUAUAUAGCCAAUAGUUAAAAAUGCAGUUAAGCUAUGAAAAUUGUCAAGAAAUAAAAUAAAGACAUGAAGAGGAACAGGAAACAAAUGAAAUCAAUUAUAGUUAUUGCUAAUAUAGUUAAUGUUAUUGAUCAUAAAUUUUACCUAGAGGUUUCCUAUUGGCAACAGAGCUGAAAAGGAAAACGUGGUUGAUUCAGUAACAUCUCUUUCCUAAUUUUGUAAAGUUAAAAAGGGAGCUGCAAAGAAUUGAAAAGUAGAGAUAUAUAUGUCAUUGAAGUUAAAUAAUGAAAUAAUUUCUCUUUGGUGAUCUAAUGUCCACAAACGUGGUAUAUGUGCUGGGUCUACUCCACUGCCUUCUCUGAACCCCUUCCUGGGCUUCUGUCCUCCUCCGCCUUGCCUUAGAGGUGACCUUAACGACCCACAUCAGUGUAUUUCCUUACCCUCUUCUCUUAGGUUUUUCCAGUGGAGGACAAGCAGAUAAUUUGAGGGCCAACGAUGGAACAGUAAGGUUUAUGUAUUUAUUCUUCCUGCUGGGUCACUGUGGAUCAUCUGUGUCCCUCUGUUGCAGACUACCUGUCAGGCAGCCCUCUCAGAAUUUGGGCAAUUGCUCCUUCCCUGCUCCUUCGGACAUAGGGUUAGCCACCCAGUAGAGCUACUGAGUUCCAUCCUGGUACUGGGGAAUGUCUAUAGAGACUCCUGUGAUGUGAUCCAUCUUCAGAUCUUGCAGCCAUGACUACUAGCACCUGCUCCAGGUCCCACGUGUUUCAAUGGACAUUUGUCUCCAUCAUAGCCACAUCACACCACAGAUUUGAUUUUUCAGUUCAUUUGGUCAAAUGCCACUCAAAACAAGAAAUGCUAAAGGAGAAGAAGAGUCCAGUUCAAGAUCUGCAUUUCAUUUCUGAUGUUGGCCCAACAACUUUUUCCUUCCAGUUUCUCGGAAGCCUGCCUCCAUAGUUCUCUUUUCCCCCAGUUCGCCCAAGAAUUUAAAGUGAGAAUUCAGAAUAUUCUUUCCCCUUUUCCCCUACUAAUGAUUCAACAGGUAGUAUGAAUUUUCCAUAUUCUGUUUAAUGCUAGGCAUCAGAUUUUCAGAGUUUCUAGCCUCAUUUCCUCUGAAACCAUUAUUUUUGCUGUGUAGUAUCUCUGUCUAAGGUUGUAUUUUAAAAGAUUCCCAAGUCCUUUGUACUAUGACAAGCAUGGAAUAUAACUUUACUAUUGACAAAGAACAAAGAGAGAUCAGAAAUAAAAACACUGGGAACUGUACACAAGCUCUGUAACCUCCUUUCUUGAGACAUUCUGAAACUUGCUAUAAAGCAAUUUAUAUGAAAGCAUUCUCAUGUACAAUAUUUCACACAAUCCCCAUAUUAAUACGAAGUGAAGUCAUCAAUCUCCACUUAAAUUUACAUGUUAAGAGACUAGCCUUUGACAUGUAAAGUAACUCACCCAAGGUCACGUAGCUAGUAAAUGGCAAAAUGGAGAUUUUUAACUAGGUUUAAUAAAUCCAAACCAUUCCCCCAAACUAUUUUGUUGUCCAAUAAGAGUUAGAGAAAUUGCGGUUUAAAAACAGGAAAUAGAUUAACAUCAAUGAGAAUAGGCACUAUAAACAGUAGCUAUGAUCUAUUGGGCCUUUCCAACACAUUACAACAGGCUGUGGGUAUCUGCAUGAAAUAUGCAUAGCAUUGCAAUGGGAAAGAGGAGCUAUGAGCCUUUCAGAAUAAGUGGGCCAAACGCAGUGUAGAAUGCUCCCUACAGUUGCCCUUUUGUGAAAUUCACACUCUAAUCACAUAUUCAAUGUUUGUCUUUGUGGAGAAUAUACUCUCUACAAAGGGAAACAACCUUAAUUCUCCUAAACAUAGACACCAGGAAGAAAAAUAAGGUUAAUUUCUUCAUUCUAGAUUCUAGCUGAUGCCAGCUCUAGAGCUUCCAGGUUGCCCAGGACUAUACCAGAAGCCUUUACUUCAUCCUAUGCAUAAUAUUGACAAAUAAGCUUAUGUUUUAAACACUGAUUCUCUGAAAAAUGUUUUAAAUCCAGCCAUGAAGUGUCCAUAAGCUAACAUAUACAUUACUUUUACAAGGUGCACUCUGGAAGGAAUCCUUUAAAAAGUUAAAAUUUAUUUACGUAAGCUAUGUAGUUGUGUGGCCACUAUGAAAGAAUACUUAGUCAGUAGAACACAGAAAGAAAAUGAAAUCAGGAGUUAUGCUACAUCAGAUGGAAGAAGCAAUGCAGUGUCUGGUAAGGAAAACAAACAAACAAAACAUGAGUUGUCCAGGACUAGCUCUACUAGAAGCAGUGUAACAUGUUGGAAAUAGCUCUUCAAUCAGAAAGUCUGGUCUCCUUAUAUACUAGCUAUGUAGCUUUAGACAAUCCAUUUAAGUCCCUGAAACUUCUCCCAUAUUUUAAUAAAAAUAUCUUUUGAGAUAACAUCCACAAGCACUUUUAAAACACAUAUAUGUAAUUAGUAAGGACUGGGGGACAGGAGUAUGCUGUAAAAUGCUCUGCAAAUAUAAUUUCAUGAAAACACAUAACUACACUGGUGAUAUUAAAUGGACUUUAAUCAGUGGUGAUAAAAGAUGGUCAAUUGUCUAUAUAAUGGAUAACAUGGUAGCCAUUUUUCAACUUCAAGUUUAAGCUUCAAUGAACCCUCAUUUCCUCAAGCCCAUAAUAUGGCCAGUAAUUAAAAUUAUAUUUCUGGUUUUAGUUGAAACUUCUAUGAUUCAAGUGGUUUUGCAGCCCUUCUCACAUCAAAAUAUACAGAGAGCCAUUUGGCUAUUUUCAUAAUACUGAGUUGGUUGGUUUAAUAUCAAGGUUAUUUUUGUUUUGUUUUGUUUAGCUAUAUAGGUCUACUGGUUACUACUGCAACGUUUAAAUUAGGUUCAUGCCUCCUUCUGUUAACAAAGAUUAAGACUCAUGUCCUGAUUGCCUCUGGAAAAUGUUGGGUAAAAGGAAAAUAAGUACUUUUGGCAGCGAAGUGAUCCAUCCACUCGGAAUAACUGACCUAGAUAAAUGGGCUCUGAAAUGGGGACUGAUUAGCCUUCCUAUCAUUAGAUAGGCAUACAGCAGGCCUUACCUUCUGUCUCUUUGUUUAAUGUACUAAGAAGUUUUCUUAAGAACUUGUCAAAGGGUACAACGGUGGAUGAGGCACAACCCCAACUGUGUCCAUAGUAGGCAGACUGAAACCACAGGUCAUCCAGCAUUUUGAGAAAUGGGGAAGGUGCAUGCCGUCUUCUGCCAAAUUUAUCUAAACAAAACAUGUGUGAGGUUAUUAAGAAUUAUAAAGACUUUACAGGCUAUUUUUAUAUAGGAUCCAAAUCAAAGGGAAGGAAGAUUAAAGCCAACACAAUUUCCAUUUAUUUUACAGUGCAGCACAGUUGAGGGCAAGAAGUGAGAGUGGGGAAUACUUAACUUGGCAUCAGAAUACCAGGAUUACAGACCUAACUCUUACAUUAAAUUGAAAUGUGAUCUUUGGAAAAGCUAGCAUAAAUAAUGUUUUAAAGGCAUUUUCAAUUAUAACAUUAUAUCAUUCUUGAUUUAUAUUCUUGAUAACUAAAAGAGAAACCACCAUUGUUCAUUUUUUUGGCCAGUUGCAUGCCAUUCCUUUCCUACAUCUGUCCAGAAGGUCAAAAGCAGAGUCUAAAUUAGGGCAUCUCCAAAAGACAAACAGCAUGGGGCAUGUUCAAUAUCAGCUUAUUCAGGACACAACAAAAGACAUGUUCUAAAAUUUAUCCUAUGACUAAGCCUCAAGUGGAGACUUUAAAACUGUCCUCUAUUUUCAGAUCUCUUUAUUUAAUGUUUCAUGGAAUCUGAAAAAUGUGGAGGAGAGAGAAUCACUUUUCUUUUCAGUCAACACGAUGCCAUGACAACCAGUUAAAAUGUGAAGGAUUGUCAAAUCAACAAUUGUUUUGUCCACAUGAUGCCAAAUAACAACCAGUUUGAGUGAUUUGUUUUUUAAGUACAAAUUUGUUCAGUUGUUGAAGCACGUAGAUACACGCUCCUUAAUAAUCAUACCUUUUAUUUUCUUCACAGUGUACAAACCAAUUUCAAACAUAUUAUCUCAUUUUUAUUCUGAUUUUUCCAACAAGCUCUGGACUGUCAGUAGAGCAUUAUUAUACAGUAUUACUGUAUUUAUUUUACAAAUGAAGAUUAUAAGUGGGAUUUAAGUUGUAUAAGCAUAACUAUCCCAAUUAAUUUGCUCUAUUUUCUCUAAAUGAAACUGAAGAAAAUACAGUGUUUUGCACAUCAGAUUGUAGUAUGUAAAUUUUGCCUGGCCCAAAGAACAUGUUCAGCAAAUGGUGUUUAACAGUAUUUUACUAUUUUCCAUUAUCAACAGUGGAGUGUCCGCUUCCCCACUGGAUUAUUGUUCUUCCAUGUAUAGGCAAAUGUUGAACACCUUCAUUCUCUUCUGCAGCCUAGGUCCUGGAAAAAUAGAGGCCCUUUCCUUUGGCACCUAGGUUUGUCUCCUUUACUUCUGUUGAAAUAGAUAUCACCUCAAAUAUAAUUCAGUUCCAACAGACUGAGUCUACUGAAAUUUCUUGACUAACAUUGUAAAGAGAUGGAGGCUUAAGAAAGUAAUUUGGUCAAGAUUACUUGAUGAUAAAUGUUGUAAUCAAGACACGAAUCCCUGUCUAUAUCACUUCAAAGCCCAUUCUUCAAACAUGUUUCAAAACUUGUUUUCAGAUUUAAUGUCAAAUCCUAAAAUUCUUGUUAUCCUGGAGCUCCCCACUCAUUGUCCCAGUGGUUUUCUGUACUCUUAGGGAAGGGUAGAUACUGAGUAGAAAUGGAAACUAUUGCUCAACUUUAACUGUUAAAUCUUGCUUUUAAGAUUUCGUUUUAUUUUAUUUAGUCCCUAGACACAAUGUUCUUAAAAGCCAAGUAAGAUUGAGGAAGAAAAUGCUUUUCUUAAUUUUUUUUCAGCUCCUAUUAAAAUAGCAAGUGCUGGCCCUAAAUCCCAGAGCUGUGGACGGAGAGAAUCUGCCAUCUGGAUCAGCCUAACCUGUGAUUUAUUCACUUUCUCACUCAACAGACUUUAUUGAGUGCCAACUAUGUGGGGAACAACACAGACUCAUGGAAAUUCAUGAAAUUUGCAGUCCAGCAGGUGACUUAGAUAUUGACUAAAUAGUAAAAAGUAUGAUAUACCGAGGUACAGGAUACUGUUGGGGACAUUUAACAGGGAGUGAACUUAGUCUGGGGCUCAGAGUAAGCUAUCUUCCAAGAGAGAGAUGAUAUUAGUGCUGCAACCUAAAGUAUGAAUACAAGUCAGCUGGAAUAGAGCAGAUUCAGGUAGCUGAAAAAAUAUAUUCAAUGUUUGGAUGGUUAGUUGUGUGUGUCAACCUGGCUAGGUUAUAGUAUCCUGUUAUUUAAUUAAACACUAAUCUAAGCAUUGCUGUGAGGGUGUUUAUAGAUGUCGUUAACGUCUACCACCAGUUGGCUUUAAGAAAAUUUUCUUUGAUAACAUGGAUGGGUCUCAUUCAAUUAGUUGAAAGGCAUUAAGACAAAAGCUGAGGUUUCCCUGAGGAAGAAGAAAUUCCAUCUCUGGACUGCAGCUUCAACUCUUGCCUGACAGUUCAGCCCUUGGGCUGCUCUAUGUAAUGCUUGCCAGACCCCACAAUUGCAUAAGCCAAUUCCUUGCAAUAAAUCAUAUAUAUGUACACACAGAUACACAUGUAAACAUAUACACACAUUAUGAUUCCUCUAUUUCCCCAUAAGCCUCUCUCUAUAUAUAAUCUAUAUCUAUAUCUAAUAUAAACAUAAUAAAACGCUGACUGAUAUAACUUUUUGCUCUAGGAAGUGAGGUAUUACUGUAACAAAUACUUUAAAAUGUAGAAGUGGCUUUGGAAUGGAGGAAUGAAUAAAGGCUGAAAAAUUUUUGAGGAACAGGAUAGAAAAAUCUUACUUUGAAGAGAUUUUUGGUGAGAAUAUGAAUGUUAAAGGUAAGCAUUUAGAAGAUAAUGAAUAAAGUUACUGGAAACUGGAGAAGAGUAAAUUCUUGCUAUAAAGUAGCAGAAAACAUGAUGGAAUUGUAUUCUACAGGUAGGUGAAAAGCAGAACAUGUAAGCAAUGAACUUGAAUAUUCAUCUGAGGAUAUUUCCAAGAAAAGCGUAGAAGGUGUAGGCUGGUUUCUUCUUACUGCUUUUAGGUGAAUGCAAGAGGAAGGAGAUAAAUUGAGGAAGGAACUGUUAAGUAGAGAGAAAUAAGCACUUGAUGGUUUGGGAGAUUCUUAGCCUAUCCAGAUUGCAAAGGAUGUUAAAAUUAAGAAAAUCAUGGUUGAGAAACUACAUUCCUGAGAAAAGUCCAAGUGUGUGGCUAAACAAACUUUUGCUGAAGAGAUUAUAUUUGUGACUCAUGAGUCCACUCAACCUUCUGGACAAAAGCCAGGUGUAGUUAUGGAAUUAUCUAGGAAAGACCUGUGGAGAAUCCUUUUGUCCAAUGGCAUGAAUCACCUUGAUAUAGAGGGGAAGCCUAUAAGGUUUCUGAAAAUGUGAUACCAGCAGAACACUGUCAGCCUGGACAAAAGAAACAGAGACCAGAUGAAAUGAUGGAAGGUUAUCAGACUUCCAAAAUUCUGCAGGCACAAAACAUGCUGAUAGAGCUACCUGACUGCAAACAUCUGCUCUUGUUCAAGAAAAAGGAAGAAUGAUUCAGAGGGCAAUGGAGCUGCCAGCAAGGGCAUGGAGGGUGAGGAAGCUGCCACUUAGAGUGCAGGAGGCAGAACGGUGAGGCAAAUCAUUAUUCUCAGGCCUUCCAAUCUAACAGAAUUUGCCCUCCUGUAUUUCACACUUGUUUAGAACUAGUGACCCCUUUAUUCCUUCCAUUUCCUGUCUUUUGGAAUGGGAAUAUCUAUCUCAUGCCUACAUCAUCAUUGUAUUUUGUAAGCAGGUAACUUGUUUUCAAGUUUUACAGGCUCACAGAUGAAGAGGAAUUUUAUGUUUGGAUGGAUCAUCCCUAUAGUCUCACCGAUAUCUGAUGUAGAUUAUUUCAGUGAUGAGAUUUGGGACUUUUUGUGUUUAUAAUAUUCUGAUGCGAUUUGGAACUUAUAGUUAAUGCUAUAGUGGACUGAGACUUUUGAAUAUAUUGAGACGAAGUGAAUGUAUUUUGCAUGUGGAAUGGUUAUAAAGUUUCUGGUGCCAGAGGACAGAGAGCGUAGGUCAAACUGUGUCCUUACAAAAGAUACGUUCACUUGGAAGUUCAGCAUAUUUGCUUAUUUGGUAUAAGGGUAUUUUGCAGAUAAACUAGGUGAGGAUUUUGAGAUGAGAUAAUCCUAAAUUAGAGUGAGCCCUCAAUAUAAUGAUAAAUAUCCUAAUACAAGACAGAAGAGGAAAAAACACAGACACACACAGGGAAGAAGGCCACAGGAAGACUAAGGCAGGAAUUUAAAUGAUGCCUAUAAGAGCCAAGGAAUGCCGAAGAUUGCCUGCAAGCACCAGAUGCUGGGAGUUAAGGGGUGGAAUGCAAUCUCCCUCAGAGAGAACCCCUAGAAGGAUACAGCCCUGCUGAUACCUUGACUUUGGAUAUAUCUGUCUUCCAGAUUAGAAAAAAAAAAAAUCUACUUCUAACAUUUUGAGCCACUAAGUUUGUGAUCAUUUGUUAUGGCAGUUUUAGAAAACUAAUAUAAAAGUCUUGAGUUAUCUGAGUCAGUGAAAGAAAAAAAGAAGAAAAGAAAAAAGUGAGCAAGGCUGGAUCAUAUAAAAAUAGGGGUAACUGGACAUGAGUGUAAAGAAUUAGCCAAAGGCUGACAUUUCCCAAUCCCUAAGGGCCACUAAAGGAUUUUUCUUCAGAAAAUGAUAUGAUCAAAUUUGUCUUUUUGAAGGAUGUCUCUGGCCACCUGUCAGAAAAAUGGCUUGUUACUGGUGUGGAGAGAGAGGUGGCAGAGUGUCAGAACAAAGUAGAAAUUCCAAGAUCCAAGCAAAAAAAAAUUAGAAUGCAAGAGAAUAGUGAAAAUUGAAGAAAUGAACCAAGCAAGUACAAAAGAAGACAAGAGGCCUUUAGCUUAAGAAAAUGCAAAAAUAAUGAUAAUCAAAGUUAUUUCAGGUUAUUUAAUGCCAGUGCAUGACUAGAAAAUAGGAGACCUUCACAAUAGGAUAGACCUCAGUGCACAUGUUCCCUCAGAAACCUUGCUUUUGGGCAAAUUGACUAAACUGUCUGAGCCAAGUUUAUCAUCUUAAUAGUAGAUAUAUUUUUAGACUUGUUGAAUGGAUGAGAAAUUUUACACUCUAACAUAAAAGGUGAGUAGAGCAAAUUUCAAAAGAGGAAGAAGGAAUCUCUUUAUUCUUUUUCUCCUUUUAUUUCUCCUAUCAUUAUUUUAAAUACUGUUCCUAGCAGCUGAUUAUCCUAACCUUUCCAUUCUCCAUUAGCUAAACCUGGAUUCUACCAGCUUUAUCAGUUUCUCUCUCUCUCCUUCCAUCAUUUUGAUACGUAAAACCACUACUAUGAUUUCUCUGUUUGAUCUCAAGUCUUUUCUCAAACCAGCUCCUUUUCUUCCUGCAGCCACACACAUGAAUGAACAAACACAAACAUAUCUAAGAAAUAUCAAUUUGUAUUCCUUUCAUCAGGAAUCAAUAGAGCCACAAUCUACCAGCAACUGGCUCUUCCUGUAAUUUGCACUGAUUUAGGUUAUUUGUUUUUAUUCAAUUACUAACGCUUAUUUUUCCAACUAGCUUAGACAUACUCCAGGAAAGCAUUCUACAUUUAUGUUAGAGGAAGUGGAGGGUUUAUCCCACUGUCAUAAUCGGCCUAGAUUCCAGGUCUUAUUUUCAAUCCCUAAAAAAAGACUUUCUUAUGAUUCUUUAUAAUCUAGUCAAAUUCUGUCUUCCCUUAUGUUUUGUUUGUUUGUUUGUUUUUAAGAGUAUCAGAAAUAAUUGGAGAUGAUGCUGUUUGUUUUGACUCCCACUCUUUCUACUCCUUAACAUGAAAGAUCAGAGUCUGGGCUCUCUACUCUUCCCAAAGUGUUACAUCCUCUGGCCCAUCUUUAUUCCUUUGCUCACAUUCUUACUCCUGCUCAAGUGUAUUCCCACCCCUUCCUGCCCAGCCAAUCCCUAUUCAUGUUUAAUGGCUGAAGCACUUUCCAAAAUCUUCCCAGACUACUCCAGCCUACAUAGCCCUUCUCUUUUACACUGUAUGAAUUUAAAGUCAAUAUGAAAACCUAAGUUUCUAAAUUUUACACAGUUUUAUUAAUACGUUUGACACCAAUCUCUCAACUUACUAUACCAUAAACUACCUGAAGUAAAAAUUAUAUCUUAUAUUUUUUGCAAACAUCAAAGCACAGGUAAUAAAUAAGAAAUGCUAUAAAAGCCAUAAAUAUUAUGACCGAAAGCAGUAGGGGGAUAAAAAGCAUGCAAAGGAAGUCUUUUUCAAACCACUUCUAGCCAUCCAUACUUCUAGAUAUAUGACCAGAGUUGUGAACCUCCCUGUGUAGUUCUCAGACUUCAUACAUCGGUGAUGCUGUUUAAAUGCAGCUCCCGAGACUCCUCCUGCAAGGAUUCUGUAGUGAUGCUUGGGUAGCUACCUUUUACCAAGGCAAUCCAGUGAUUCUUAUUCAGAAGACUGAAGGACAAUCUUGUGAGAAAUAUCACUCUAGGGAUAAAGUAACAAAACUACAUGUCCUAGGAACUAACACUGAGCAGGAAGAAGAGAAACACAGGCUGUAGCCAGACAUUCAGGUAAUCUCCCACUUCCUGUAAAUUAUAGUCUGGAAUUUUGGACUCUCAGCCUCUCCAUCUCUUACUAACUACAAUGUCUCCAAUUCCUCACUUGGCAAUCCUACAGUUAAAGUUCCUUUCUAGACUUUUACUUUUUACUAAACACUCAUCUAAUACUUGCUAUGAUCUAGUGAGUCUUGUAUACACAUACUAGUUAUUUUAACAUGAAAUUUGUGAGAUAGAAUCCCUUUACUGUCUUCAUGUUAUAGAUGAGGGAACUAAGGCACACAGCAGUAAAAUAACUUGCCCAAGGUCAUAGACUAAGUACAUAGCAGAGCUGAGAAUCAAACCCAAGCAAUCUGGCUCCAUAGCCUGCAAUCUGAACCACCAUAAAACCAUCACAAUGUACUGCCUCAUCAGUUCUGCAUUUCAGACAUAUUGCAUGCUUUUCCCAGUUUCUGAUGUCAAUACAAUCAAUAGAUAUUCAAUAUUUAUUACGUGUCAGCUAUCAUAAUAUGUACUAGGACUAUAACCCCAGAAUAAAACUCCAUCUGUGCUUUCAAGAAGCCUAUAUUAUAAGGUAGAAUCCAGAAAAAUAAAUGAACAUAUAACUAAACAUAUUGAUAAGUAUUAAUAUCACAAUAGGGACAAGAAGAGGAUAUUAUGGGAGCACAUAGGAAGGAAACUUAUCAUAGUCUUGGGACUGAAAAGACUUUCCAGAGGAAAUAUCAUCUAAGCUGAAGUCUGAAAGAGCUCUUGCAAACAAGUUAAGGUUGAUGGACUCACAGUACUGAGGUGUCUAGAGGAAGAUGGACAUGAGAGAAUGUCAUGGUCAAAGGUAAAGGCAUAUGCAAAAAAUGUGAGGCAAAAGAAAGUUUGGUAAAUUUCAGAAACUUUAGGUUGUUCAUUGUCAUCAUACAGAAAAGUAAAAGAAGGUCAAUGGUAACAGACAAAUAAAGGAGAAAAUGUUUCUUGGGAUCUUUUUAUUUCUUUCUUUUAGAUGCUAACCCUAAGGAAUCCAUUCAAACUCUUGAUUACUCUCCAUGCUGAACAGGUUAGUCUGAAGUAUUCUUGACCCAUGAAACGGAAUUAAUCAAAUCCUAGUGGCUCAGCGAAGCUCACCUUAGACCUUUCAUCUGAAAUUAAUAUGUUAUGAUUGAUUAAUACAACUAAUGGAUACCGUAUUUCUGAGCAUACCGACAUAUGACAACACAAUUCUUUUCAAACAAAGAGGAUUCAAAAUUCUAUGUGUAUAGAUAGCCAAUAAACAAAAGCUUUAAAGUCAAUAUAAUCUAAUACCUGAAAACUUGAAAUUUUUUUUGUAGUUGUUUAAACAGUUCUAAUUUAUAGUUAGGGACUUUGAUUUUCAAUCUUCAUUAACAAGCACAGUGCAAUAAAGAUGGAUCACUGUAUUAAUGAAACAAAAUUAUUAUGUGUUAUUUAUACAGGACAGCAAUAAAAUGAGACCAAGAAGAUUAAGCAUUCUAGCAUGCUGUAAUUUAUGUCAAAGUAAUGUCCUCCUUUGAAGUCAGAGUCUGGCUUAAACAAUGAAGCAGGAAAAAUGUUCAAAACAGCAAAGGGGACUGGGAAAGUAAAAAUCCAGUUUCAUGUAGAAUAUCGAAAAUAUUUUGGCCAAUUUAAAAGAAAAAUCACUUAUAGAACAUAAUCUGAGAAAAAAGAAGGUGGAAAACAGCUUAGUAUCUCUCCCUAUCUUAGUUUGCCAUACUUAGUCAAAGUCAUUUGAAAAGCUACAUUCGUAAGAGCUAGUGAGGUAAAGUGUUUCAAAUGUCCUCAGUGCACUCUUUGAGGCUCUAUGGGACAGUGAAACCCUGAUUCACCUGUUAGGGAAAACACACACAAAAAAACACUUGACAUGUUUAGAGAUAUUCAGUUCUUAAAUGAAUAAUCUUCAUUAUUAACAAAUGGCUUAACAAAGAAAGCCAGUGUUACAAGUAUGCCGAACCCUUACUCCUAACUGCAUUUAUCCCUACUAAAACUAUAAAGUGUCUCUUUGAAAUAAAAUUUUGACAAUAAACAAAUAGUAUGGUUCUUUGCAAUUUUUCUGAGUCCUAAUUUUUAAAAAAUGCAUUAAGGAUGUCAUUUUUAAUCUGGGCCCCACCAAGAGAUUUGCAGCAAUGUAUCAGGGAAAAAGCAAAGCCAGGGAUAUAAACCUAUUGCAUCACCAUAUAGAAGCAAUUUAACUGAAUAAUUUUGGGGAAAAGUUUUUUUCUUUCUUUUUUUGUUUUUAUUCUUAAGAGGUUUUGUCACACCCACUUACAACCAAAAUUAGUUUUUGGGUGGAAGCCUAGAAAGUAGAAGUUUUUAUGGGCAGUAAGUGAUUGUCAAAUUCUGUACUUGUGUGUUGUGAAAAGGCCCAUGAUAUUAACACUGCGCUGAAUUAAAGGAAAUACCAUAAAUUAUGGUAUUCUUGUAAUCAUCAAGACUGGUGUUUUUUUAGAGCUGAAAUUUACAGGUUUUUCUCCUGAAUGUCUUUUUUAAAAUUACAUACACUCUCUCACACACACAAAUAUCACUGGCUCACCAAAAUUAUUCCAACCUCCUACCACAAUUUUUUCAUGUAUAUUUUUUCUUAAAUAUAGGACUUCCAUUUUCCCAUAUUGUAGAAGAAACAAAAAUUCUGGAAUUUGAGGCUGGGCAUGAUUUUAGUAUUAUAUUGCUUUUGCAUUUUAAAACUUUAAAGAUUUUAAGUAUUUUUGAUAAUGAAAAGAAACAAGUUUCAAAAAAGUUUGAGGAAAAUUCUGAACAUCAAGUUUUGUCAUCUGUAAAUGUAGAUAAUAGCUGCCUUGUACUUUUACAAGGUAUAAUGAACACAAAGGUACUUUUCAAUCUGUAGAAUACCAUAUGAAUGUCUAAUAUUUCUGUUUUCAUAGUAUAAUCACAUUGCCUCAUAUAACAUUUUCCCCUAUACACAAAAAUACAAAACUCUAAAAUAGUUCUCAGAAAUACAAUUAAUAUAUACUAAAAAUCUUAGUGCAAAGAGCACGAGUGACCUGACCAGCAUUAAUAGUGACCAGCACGAUGCAGAUAUUUAUACAUAUCUGAUUUUUUUAAAUAAAAAUGUGUUGAAUAUUUUAUCUGUCAGACUCCAGUCAGGAGAUAUAAACCACACUAGUUAUCUUAACAGAGUUAUAGUGAAGAAUUAAAAGCGUAGAAAGUAAACAUUAAGGUGUCACAGAGGUAAAGGGAAAAUAUCAUUGCAAAAGUAGCCAUCAUUCAAAGGGAAUAGGUUAGAAUUACUUAAACUCAGAUGCUAGAGAAGAAGCACAUGAAUCUGACAUUCGGACCUCUGAGGAUGAGGAGCUCCUUGACUGAUGCUGGAAUCUGCAAGCCUUGCAGGUGGAUGAAGGGGGGUACGAGGUCCAGACCUUUGAGGAGGCAGAGCAUAUCUCUUCUUUCUCCAGCUUUCCAGUUGUUUUUUCACAUUCCAUAUUAGCUUAGCCUAACACAGAGUCAGCUAGCAGAGUAGAAAUGGGACAUGAAGAGUUCCAGCACUAGCAUAACAAAGCAGAGAAUAAAAGGGUGGAUUUAGAGCUGAUACCACAGCUUCACAACUGGAUCAAAUAUACAAAUGGUAGACUGAUUGAAAGAAUAAAGAAACAGAGAAAAGAAUGAAGAAGUGAAAUAUUUAUUUACUUGGUGGCUGAGUUAGAAUCAAAGUGCUCUGCUUUCCAGAUUUCUCCAUAAUGCACUCUAAUACCUGCAUUCCUCAAAACUAAAUAUAUGUUGAAAUUUUUGAAUCAUAUGACAUUUAAAUAUAUUAAGGAGAUUUACUAUUUAUAGGAAUAUUAUGGCAAAUUGUUUUGCAAGAUAAAUAACUAGUCGCUAAUUUAACUGGUUCAAAACUCAGAAUUUGUAUACACUUUGUUUGCUUAAGCAAAUUAAAUCUAAGUGAAAAAUAUGAGGUUCACAAACCAUAAGACCUACUUGGCUCCCAGAGGACUUUCUCAGCAUAUAAUAGUGUGCCAGAUUGAGUGGCACAAUUUUAGUUCCUGGCAAGAUGAUAAAUAAACACAAGCUCCUGUGUUCCCUCACUCCCACCAUGGCCCAACCUUGAAAGUGCUACAGACGAGAAAGGGUUUAGGGUAACAUUUUAGUUUUAUUAUUUUUCUGUCUGCAAACUAUCCUGUAUAGAUUAUUGUUUUCUCUUCCCUCACUCCCAUCACCAGUAGAGGUAGAAAAAUUAUUACACCAGCCAUAUACAACCAUAGACAUGGCACAAUAAGCCUAGCUAGAAAGGAGAAAAAAUAGUAAGUAAGUAAUUAAAAACAGUAAGCCCCUGAGCAUUCCCUCUGCUAUCCUUCACUCCCUCUACCAAUGAGGACUAAGUAAGCAUACAUACACUUAAGAGAAAAUGAUUAGAGAAUGUAAUUCCUGGGGAUAGGGUAGGAGUAAAUAUAAAGUGAAAGAGCACAAACUCUCUACAUCAUGUUACAUCUUCCUUUGACCCACACAAUCUAAAUUUACCAAGAGAUGUAUAAACUAAGGCUUGAGUUUUGGCUUUUCAACCUGAUUUACACAUUACCAGCCAAUGUAGCUAUUGCAUACUAUUCCUACAAAACAAGAAAAAUACUAGAUAACUGAGAAAAGCAAAAUCUACAAUAAAAACACAAUUCAAUGAUUUAUACUAGAUGGAGCCUAGAUAUAUUAUAGCAAAAUAUUUAAGAACACUAAAGACAAAAAGAACAACUCAAAAUUGUUUUAGAAAGAAUAGUGGAAAACAGAGUAACAUGGAGAAAAUGCAAAGGGAAUGAGAAAACAGGAUGUCUUAUUCGGGAUGAAGAUAUUAACAUAUAUAUAUAUAGAGAGAGAGAGAGAUUUAUUUAAUGCAAGAAUACAAAUAGAAUGUGUAACUUUCAUAGCAACAGAAAAAUCAAUAGAAAAUAUGCAGUAAAGGAGAAAAAAGAAACAAAAAAGGCAUAUGGCAAGAGAGACAAAUAUAACAAUAAUUAAAAUAAUUUUUUAAUUCACCAAUUAAAAAUUAUAAACUAUCAUACUGAAUAAUAAAACUAGCAUCUACUAUACAUCAUAUAUGUGUGGAUUAAAACUAGAAUGUCAUAGGUUGAAAUUAAAGAGAAAGGAAAAAAUAUACCACACAGUUACGAAUCAAAACAAAGGUAACCAUUUUAAUAUCAGAAAAUAAAUAUAACUCAAAGGUACACACACACACACACAAAGAAAGAAGAAUGUAGGGUACUGGUAAAAGAAAUAAUCUACAUAAUACAGGAUUCAAACAUGCUUAUGAACCCAACUCCAUAGCCCCAAAAGAUAUCCAGUACAACAAUGACAGAACUGUAAUGAGAAAUUGAAAAUUGAGAGUUACUUAAUUUGUGUGGGGAAAACUGCGUUGUUUUGUUUUUAUAGAGAAAAAAAUCAAACAGAUUUUUACAUAAAUAAAGUGCAGAUAGAUUAAAAUUUUGAUUGUAGAAAAAAAUAAAAGUAAUAGAAGAAAUUUCAGAAUAUAUCUGUAACCUGCUGAUGGAAAAGUAUCUUUUAAUCUUUAAAAAACCCACAAAAUACACAGCAACAACAAGACAACAACACAGAUUUAUUUGAUAGCAACAAAAUAAAAUUUUGUGUUUAAUGCAAGUUAUUAUAAGUAUUGCAAAAAACAAAUAGUACUUUGGAAGAAUAUAAUUGCAGUCUAAAAUUUAAAAUAUAUUAACACCUGGAAUUUAAGUGGAACUCCAGAAAAACAGAAAUAAUUAUAUCAAAACCCAAUAUAAAAAUGGACAAAGACUAGGAAAAGCCAAUUAUAAUGAUUAUUACAGAAGACAAAUUAAAAUACAUGUGAAAUACAAGUGGUAUCCCCUAAACUUAUCAAAAAAUAACAAAAAUAGAAUAUCAGAUAAUAUCACAUGUUAGAAUAUGAGUAGAUAAAAACUUCACAUACUACUGAUAGAAAUAUUCAGGUAUAGCCAUUCUGGAAAUAAAUCUGAGAAGACCUAAUGAAAUUAAAUUAAAUACAGUACAUACUAAAACUCUUUAAUUCUACUCGUGUGGUAGUCAGGGCAGUGUUUCCUUUGCAGUAGUUGCAUACCCUGAAAUACUCCACAGCAAUAAUGAACGAGAAGUCAACGCAGCAACUUGAAUAUCUUAAAAAUACAGUGUUGGCCUUUUAAACAAGGAUG